RNAcentral lists this small RNA (100 nucleotides) under Bacillus sp. (in: firmicutes). Its description in RNAcentral is "Bacillus sp. Guanidine-I sequence". It matches the Rfam family "Guanidine-I riboswitch aptamer". From Rfam's summary of the family: This family represents a conserved RNA structure found upstream of the ykkC and yxkD genes in Bacillus subtilis and related genes in other bacteria. The function of this family is unclear although it has been suggested that it may function to switch on efflux pumps and detoxification systems in response to harmful environmental molecules. Nelson showed that this riboswitch senses and responds to guanidine and it was renamed Guanidine-I riboswitch. RNAcentral also lists the same sequence under 1 other name. The record is from RNAcentral. Lineage: Bacteria; Bacillati; Bacillota; Bacilli; Caryophanales; Bacillaceae.
GCACUUGUUUUCUAGGGUUCCGCAGCGUUGGCUGGCCUGGUUCGAGAGAAAACACACAGCCGCAUUGGCUGUGACACGGAGGGAUAAAAGCCCGGGAGAU